UACGUAGGGUGCAAGCGUUGUCCGGAAUUAUUGGGCGUAAAGAGCUCGUAGGCGGCUUGUCGCGUCGGCUGUGAAAACCUAGGGCUCAACCCUGGGCUUGCAGCCGAUACGGGCAAGCUAGAAUUCGGUAGGGGAGACUGGAAUUCCACGUGUAGCGGUGAAAUGCGUAGAGGUGUGGAGGAACACCAAUGGCGAAGGCAGCCUCCUGGGCCAAUACUGACACUCAUGCACGAAAGCGUGGGGAGCAAACAGG
RNAcentral lists this ribosomal RNA (253 nucleotides) under uncultured bacterium. Its description in RNAcentral is "partial 16S ribosomal RNA". It matches the Rfam family "Bacterial small subunit ribosomal RNA", at positions 524 to 776 of the family's 1533-position model. The record is from RNAcentral.